This is a long non-coding RNA of Bufo bufo (common toad), 133 nucleotides long. RefSeq lists it as uncharacterized. Lineage: Eukaryota; Metazoa; Chordata; Amphibia; Anura; Bufonidae. The transcript has 3 exons. The record is from RefSeq and is a predicted model, not a curated record.
UUAGGUUACUUUAACACUAGCGGCAGCCUUCUCCGGCAGGGGAACAGCCUGUCGGAUCCAUGCUACAGCUAGUGCACCGCCCCUGAAGUCCGCUCCAGCCCUAUUCACUACAAUGGGUACAUGUCAUAAUUUU